Small nuclear RNA from Nomascus leucogenys (northern white-cheeked gibbon), 188 nucleotides. RefSeq annotates it as U2 spliceosomal RNA. The record is from RefSeq and is a predicted model, not a curated record. Lineage: Eukaryota; Metazoa; Chordata; Mammalia; Primates; Hylobatidae.
AUGAGAUUUGGGUGCAGACACAGCCAAAUCAUAUUGCUAUUCUUAUCAGUUUAAUAUCUGAUGUGUCCUCUAUUUGGGCAUAAUAUAUAAAACAAAUUUUUGGAGAAGGGAGAUACAAUAGGAGCUUGUUCCAUCCACUCCAUGCAUUAACCUGGUAUUGCAGUACCUCCAGGAAUGGUGCAACUUCC